GGAGAGAUGGCUGAGUGGUCGAAAGCGGUCGCCUGCUAAGUGAUUGAACGGUUAUUAGCCGUUCCCCGGGUUCGAAUCCCGGUCUCUCCGCCA
This 93-nucleotide transfer RNA is filed under the name Abditibacteriota bacterium. Its description in RNAcentral is "tRNA-Ser". It matches the Rfam family "tRNA". Rfam says of the family: Transfer RNA (tRNA) molecules are approximately 80 nucleotides in length. Their secondary structure includes four short double-helical elements and three loops (D, anti-codon, and T loops). The record is from RNAcentral. Lineage: Bacteria; Pseudomonadati; Abditibacteriota.